UCCGCGCGUACAAUCAUUGUACAAUCGAAUUUGCCCGUUUGUUUAUGAGUGUUUGGAAGUAGAUAUGCGUGCGAGAAAAAAUGGAAUAAAAACUGUAUGUAAGUGACCACUAAAGAUGCAAUUUCAAACAAACCGAGAACCGUAAAUACAUUGCGAUAAAUGUUUACAACACAGUAUGAAAUAUACAGAGAUAGCUUCAACCAACUUUUCCAAGAAGCUAGACCUUACCUUUGUUUGAAAAUUCAACUGUGGCUAUAGUUGAAACUUGCAUUAAAGAUGAAGCUAGUGAUGAGGCGAAUCAACAUGAGAAUCUCCAUUUGACAAAUAUAAUUACACAAAGUUGCUGCAUCCUUGAGGAAACUAUAGAAGCAAGGUUUGCCUAUAAACAGUGCAUUUUUUGGUGUCAUUGAUGAAGGGGUGUUUUUAUUUCACAUCAACUGCAUCACAACUUUGACAGAUCCCACAUGGAUGGAGUUGUGAAUAUCCC
Molecule: long non-coding RNA, 487 nt
Organism: Xenia sp. Carnegie-2017
Lineage: Eukaryota; Metazoa; Cnidaria; Anthozoa; Malacalcyonacea; Xeniidae
Exons: 3
Source: RefSeq, a predicted model, not a curated record